AGGGAGCUGUCGAAGGUGGAGCCGGUAACUGGGGUGAAGUCGUAACAAGGUAGCCGUAUCGGAAGGUGCGGCUGGAUCACCUCCUUUCUAAGGAA
This 95-nucleotide ribosomal RNA is filed under the name Eubacterium sp. An3. RNAcentral describes it as "partial 16S ribosomal RNA". It matches the Rfam family "Bacterial small subunit ribosomal RNA", at positions 1447 to 1533 of the family's 1533-position model. The record is from RNAcentral. Lineage: Bacteria; Bacillati; Bacillota; Clostridia; Eubacteriales; Eubacteriaceae.